UAUCAGGUUACCCAUGACAGGAGAAGCAAGGAUUUAGAGACAUUCAGGGAAAUGCUAGAGGUCACACAUCGACCUGAAGAGAGAACUCUUUUAUUGAAAUGCUUUUCAGAUUAUGUAAAUAAAAUUUAAGUCAACUAUUUUUUAUGGAGUAUUAUCUUUCCUAACUAUUUGUAGCAAAUGACGAGGCCGUCAUUUCUCAACUGGGUGGAGUUUGUGGUAGUUGUACUUAGUUUAGUUUUAUAUUUUUAUAUUGCCAUUCACAUUUAUUCACUUCAAUACAUAUUGCGCUGCGCUACUUACUAACUUUGUGUUGUGUGUUAAAGAAACCUAAACACCCCUUUUAAAUAUAAUGGUUUAAUCCGUAAGGGUCCAGUUAGAACAUAACUCGGAUUAGUUCAUGUACCUCUUAGGUGUCAUACUUGUUCUGUCAUCUGAUUGGUCUUAGUAUUUUGUUCUAGCCAAUAGGAAUUCCUGGCGGGAAUUCCUGAGUUCUUUUUAUGAAAUAGUUCAGGAAAAUCUAGUUUUGAAAGAGAUUCCAAAGGGUGUUGCCACUAUUGAGUUCUAAAUAAGCAUAAAAUAUAUAUUUAAUUUAUAGAGGAUUUGCUAACACCAACAACUGUAAGUAGCUGAUAGUUUUACUAUAUGAUUAAAAGCAAGUAAUGAAUUUAAAUAAGUAAUUAAACUUUUCUUUAUUCAUAAAACUUGUGUGCAAGUCGUGAGUGAAAGAUUUACUGAAAGUAGAAUUGUGGAAAAACAUAAUUUCUGUUCUUUAAGUAAAUAAUGAGUUUUAAGUAAUAUAAAUGCGCAGAGUGAUAUAUGUGUACAGAAUUUAGUAUUUUAGUAAAUUCUUCAAUAGGUCAUCAUAAGAGUUUUAAGCAGUUCACCUUGAUUUCGGAAGCUGUAGCUCAGUUCCAUAAACUGGGUUUGUUUUCAUUGUUUCCAAAAAGUAAACGAAUCUACGACCUUAA
Ostrea edulis (European flat oyster) is the source of this 968-nucleotide long non-coding RNA. RefSeq lists it as uncharacterized. The record is from RefSeq and is a predicted model, not a curated record. NCBI's taxonomy places the organism in Eukaryota, Metazoa, Mollusca, Bivalvia, Ostreida, Ostreidae. The transcript is spliced from 2 exons.